UGGUUUCUACGUGAACUGCAGCACCUU
Molecule: non-coding RNA, 27 nt
Filed under: Rattus norvegicus (Norway rat)
Lineage: Eukaryota; Metazoa; Chordata; Mammalia; Rodentia; Muridae
Source: RNAcentral